AGCUUCGUAGCGCACGCACGGGGAGUCCGCCCCCAUAGAUGCUGCGAGGAAAGUCCCCGUGCCUCGGUGCAGAGAGUGCGAGUUGGAGACCGC
This 93-nucleotide non-coding RNA is filed under the name Scrippsiella hangoei. The record is from RNAcentral. Lineage: Eukaryota; Dinophyceae; Peridiniales; Peridiniaceae.